AUGCAUCCACGCGGUAAUACGGAGGGUGCAAGCGUUAAUCGGAAUUACUGGGCGUAAAGCGCGCGUAGGUGGUUUGGUAAGUUGGGUGUGAAAUCCCCGGGCUCAACCUGGGAACUGCAUUCAAAACUGCCAGACUAGAGUACGAUAGAGGGGGGUAGAAUUUCAGGUGUAGCGGUGAAAUGCGUAGAGAUCUGAAGGAAUACCGGUGGCGAAGGCGGCCCCCUGGAUUGAUACUGACACUGAGGUGCGAAAGCGUGGGUAGCAAACAGGAUUAGAUACCCUGGUAGUCCACGCCGUAAACGAUGUCAACUAGCUGUUGGAGGACUUGAUCCUUUAGUGGCGCAGCUAACGCGUUAAGUUGACCGCCUGGGGAGUACGGCCGCAAGGUUAAAACUCAAAUGAAUUGACGGGGGCCCGCACAAGCGGUGGAGCAUGUGGUUUAAUUCGAAGCAACGCGAAGAACCUUACCUACUCUUGACAUCCUCAGAACUUUCCAGAGAUGGAUUGGUGCCUUCGGGAACUGAGUGACAGGUGCUGCAUGGCUGUCGUCAGCUCGUGUUGUGAAAUGUUGGGUUAAGUCCCGUAACGAGCGCAACCCUUGUCCUUAUUUGUCAGCACGUAAUGGUGGGAACUUUAAGGAGACUGCCGGUGACAAACCGGAGGAAGGUGGGGACGACGUCAAGUCAUCAUGGCCCUUACGAGUAGGGCUACACACGUGCUACAAUGGCCGGUACAGAGGGUUGCCAAGCCGCGAGGUGGAGCUAAUCCCAGAAAGCCGGUCGUAGUUCGGAUUGGAGUCUGCAACUCGACUCCAUGAAGCCGGAAUCGCUAGUAAUCGCGAAUCAGAAUGUCGCGGUGAAUACGUUCCCGGGCCUUGUACACACCGCCCGUCACACCAUGGGAGUGGGUUGCAAAAGAAGUGGGUAGACUA
RNAcentral lists this ribosomal RNA (931 nucleotides) under uncultured Gammaproteobacteria bacterium. RNAcentral's name for it is "bacterial SSU rRNA". It matches the Rfam family "Bacterial small subunit ribosomal RNA", at positions 509 to 1437 of the family's 1533-position model. Lineage: Bacteria; Pseudomonadati; Pseudomonadota; Gammaproteobacteria. The record is from RNAcentral.